Non-coding RNA from Lolium perenne, 498 nucleotides. The record is from RefSeq and is a predicted model, not a curated record. Lineage: Eukaryota; Viridiplantae; Streptophyta; Magnoliopsida; Poales; Poaceae.
CGACAAGAAGAUCCUGAAAAGAAACAACCACAUAGAGCGAAGGUUUAUUUAGCGACUCAUCGAAAAAAAGAUGAAGAAAGAAAUAAACAUGUGGCUGACUUGGCUGACUUGGAAAAGCUAAUACAUAACGAACCAGAGCUAGCAUAGAGUGACCGUGGAAAAGUUGCAUGGUAAGGUGAUGCCUUACAUACAAUUUUGGGGGAAGAAAAGCCUGGACAAGUGCAUGGCAUGGGUUUGCUUCCAGUGCCUAACCAAGUUUAUGGUCGGUUACCACGCUAUCUGAAGAACAUCAAUAUGACUACAACAAAUGAGUCAUCACAUGCUGAAGAGAGUGAUGUUAUGGAGGAAAUAGAAAAGCUCAAGCGGCGUAUAGAAGAGCAGGACCAACGCAUAGAAGAGCAAGACCAAAUUAUUGAAGUAUUUAGAAACCAGGAUGAAGCCAAUUUCCGCCAAGGUAAUGAUGAAUCUCAGCUGGAAGUACCACAAAAUAGAAGAAAG